GUCUCAGGACUCUUGGGAACAAUGGUAUGCCGUGAUAGUUUGCGGCGGAGGGGUCCCUUUACACGUGGGUAACCUGCCUGUAAGACUGGGAUAACUCCGGGAAACCGGGGCUAAUACCGGAUGGUUGUUUGAACCGCAUGGUUCAAACAUAAAAGGUGGCUUCGGCUACCACUUACAGAUGGACCCGCGGCGCAUUAGCUAGUUGGUGAGGUAACGGCUCACCAAGGCAACGAUGCGUAGCCGACCUGAGAGGGUGAUCGGCCACACUGGGACUGAGACACGGCCCAGACUCCUACGGGAGGCAGCAGUAGGGAAUCUUCCGCAAUGGACGAAAGUCUGACGGAGCAACGCCGCGUGAGUGAUGAAGGUUUUCGGAUCGUAAAGCUCUGUUGUUAGGGAAGAACAAGUACCGUUCGAAUAGGGCGGUACCUUGACGGUACCUAACCAGAAAGCCACGGCUAACUACGUGCCAGCAGCCGCGGUAAUACGUAGGUGGCAAGCGUUGUCCGGAAUUAUUGGGCGUAAAGGGCUCGCAGGCGGUUUCUUAAGUCUGAUGUGAAAGCCCCCGGCUCAACCGGGGAGGGUCAUUGGAAACUGGGGAACUUGAGUGCAGAAGAGGAGAGUGGAAUUCCACGUGUAGCGGUGAAAUGCGUAGAGAUGUGGAGGAACACCAGUGGCGAAGGCGACUCUCUGGUCUGUAACUGACGCUGAGGAGCGAAAGCGUGGGGAGCGAACAGGAUUAGAUACCCUGGUAGUCCACGCCGUAAACGAUGAGUGCUAAGUGUUAGGGGGUUUCCGCCCCUUAGUGCUGCAGCUAACGCAUUAAGCACUCCCGCCUGGGGAGUACGGUCGCAAGACUGAAAACUUAAAGGAAUUUGACGGGGGGCCCGCACAAUCGGUUGGAGCAUGUGGUUUAAUUCGAAGCAACGCGAACACCCUUACCAGGUCCUGGCUUCCCUCUGACUUCCUAAAAUAGGAUU
This 980-nucleotide ribosomal RNA is filed under the name Bacillus subtilis. RNAcentral describes it as "bacterial SSU rRNA". It matches the Rfam family "Bacterial small subunit ribosomal RNA", at positions 61 to 1013 of the family's 1533-position model. The record is from RNAcentral. Lineage: Bacteria; Bacillati; Bacillota; Bacilli; Caryophanales; Bacillaceae.